This 348-nucleotide ribosomal RNA is filed under the name Schizochytrium aggregatum. Its description in RNAcentral is "partial Bacterial large subunit ribosomal RNA". It matches the Rfam family "Bacterial large subunit ribosomal RNA", at positions 52 to 467 of the family's 2925-position model. Lineage: Eukaryota; Bigyra; Thraustochytrida; Thraustochytriidae. The record is from RNAcentral.
AAAGACGUAGUAGCCUGCGAUAAGCCUCGGGGAGCUGGCAAACAAGCUUUGAUCCGAGGAUUUCUGAAUGGGGCAACCCACGGCUUAGGCCGUAUCCCGCAAGGGAGGCUAACGCAGGGAACUGAAACAUCUAAGUACCUGCAGGAAAAGAAAUCAACCGAGAUUCCCCUAGUAGUGGCGAGCGAACGGGGAGUAGCCCUUAAGUUUUGUGCGGUUUAGUGGAACAGUCUGGAAAGUCUGGUCAUAGCGGGUGAUAGCCCCGUACACGAAAAACUGCAUGAGAUGAAAUCGAGUAAGGCGAGGCACGUGAAACCUUGUCUGAAUAUGGGGGGACCAUCCUCCAAGGCU